UAUCAGCCUUUUGGGCAUGAUUCUGUGGAGCGUGAGGAGUUAAACGCCUUCAUGCCUGCAUAUUCGUGUACUUUGGGUGUACUUGCCUGUGUGGUUAGUUAACAUCAAUUUUGGUUAUCAUAAAAUGGCUGGAGGAAUGUAGCUUCGAUUUCGAUUGAAGUGUUAUAGCCUUCGGCAGAUGUGAUGAUCGGGAUUGAGGAUUGCAACGGAUACCCUUCGGGGCUACCUGUCUGGUCUCUGAUCGUUGCUUUGGUGCCGAAAGCGUGCUUACGGUUAUCAAAGUCGAUGGUCAAUAGGUUAGAACGGGUUAAAUUCGUUAAGGAUGUUGACGUA
Molecule: ribosomal RNA, 333 nt
Filed under: uncultured Glomeromycotina
Lineage: Eukaryota; Fungi; Glomeromycota
Description: eukaryotic LSU rRNA
Source: RNAcentral